RNAcentral lists this ribosomal RNA (1010 nucleotides) under Metarhizium sp. 2 DT-2012. Its description in RNAcentral is "SSU rRNA". It matches the Rfam family "Eukaryotic small subunit ribosomal RNA", at positions 87 to 1106 of the family's 1831-position model. The record is from RNAcentral. Lineage: Eukaryota; Fungi; Ascomycota; Sordariomycetes; Hypocreales; Clavicipitaceae. RNAcentral also lists the same sequence under 2 other names.
CUGCGAAUGGCUCAUUAUAUAAGUUAUCGUUUAUUUGAUAGUACCUUACUACUUGGAUAACCGUGGUAAUUCUAGAGCUAAUACAUGCUAAAAAUCCCGACUUCGGAAGGGAUGUAUUUAUUAGAUACAAAACCAAUGCCCCUCGGGGCUCUCUGGUGAUUCAUGAUAACUCGUCGAAUCGCACGGCCUUGCGCCGGCGAUGGUUCAUUCAAAUUUCUUCCCUAUCAACUUUCGAUGUUUGGGUAGUGGCCAAACAUGGUGGCAACGGGUAACGGAGGGUUAGGGCUCGACCCCGGAGAAGGAGCCUGAGAAACGGCUACUACAUCCAAGGAAGGCAGCAGGCGCGCAAAUUACCCAAUCCCGAUACGGGGAGGUAGUGACAAUAAAUACUGAUACAGGGCUCUUUUGGGUCUUGUAAUUGGAAUGAGUACAAUUUAAAUCCCUUAACGAGGAACAAUUGGAGGGCAAGUCUGGUGCCAGCAGCCGCGGUAAUUCCAGCUCCAAUAGCGUAUAUUAAAGUUGUUGUGGUUAAAAAGCUCGUAGUUGAAUCUUGGGCCUGGCUGGCCGGUCCGCCUCACCGCGUGUACUGGUCCGGCCGGGUCUUUCACUCUGCGGAACCACAUGCCCUUCAGUGGGUGUGGCGGGGAAGCAGGACGUUUACUUUGAAAAAAUUAGAGUGCUCUAAGCAGGCCAAUGCUCGGAUACAUUAGCAUGGAAUAAUAAAAUAGGACGCGCGGUUCUAUUUUGUUGGUUUCUAGGACCGCCGUAAUGAUGAAUAGGGACAGUCGGGGGCAUCAGUAUUCAGUUGUCAGAGGUGAAAUUCUUGGAUCUACUGAAGACUAACUACUGCGAAAGCAUUUGCCAAGGAUGUUUUCAUUAAUCAGGAACGAAAGUUAGGGGAUCGAAGACGAUCAGAUACCGUCGUAGUCUUAACCAUAAACUAUGCCGACUAGGGAUCGGACGAUGUUAUUUAGUUGACUCGUUCGGCACCUUACGAGAAAUCAAAGUGC